RNAcentral lists this ribosomal RNA (449 nucleotides) under uncultured bacterium. RNAcentral describes it as "partial 16S ribosomal RNA". It matches the Rfam family "Bacterial small subunit ribosomal RNA", at positions 29 to 523 of the family's 1533-position model. The record is from RNAcentral.
AACGAACGCUGGCGGCAUGCCUAACACAUGCAAGUCGAACGAAGGCUUCGGCCUUAGUGGCGCACGGGCGAGUAACGCGUGGGAAACUGCCUAUUGGUGGGGAAUAACGACGGGAAACUGUCGCUAAUACCGCAUAAGCCCUUCGGGGGAAAGAUUUAUCGCCGAUAGAUGUGCCCGCGUCCGAUUAGCUAGUUGGUGAGGUAAUGGCUCACCAAGGCGAAGAUCGGUAGCUGGUCUGAGAGGAUGAUCAGCCACACUGGGACUGAGACACGGCCCAGACUCCUACGGGAGGCAGCAGUGGGGAAUAUUGGACAAUGGGCGAAAGCCUGUUCCAGCAAUGCCGCGUGAGUGAUGAAGGCCUUAGGGUUGUAAAGCUCUUUCGGGUGGGACGAUGAUGACGGUACCACCAGAAGAAGCCCCGGCUAACUUCGUGCCAGCAGCCGCCGUAA